This 253-nucleotide ribosomal RNA is filed under the name uncultured bacterium. RNAcentral describes it as "partial 16S ribosomal RNA". It matches the Rfam family "Bacterial small subunit ribosomal RNA", at positions 524 to 776 of the family's 1533-position model. The record is from RNAcentral.
GACGAACCGUGCAAACGUUGUUCGGAAUCACUGGGCUUAAAGGGCGCGUAGGCGGCUUGCCAAGUCAGUGGUGAAAUCUCCGGGCUUAACCCGGAAACUGCCAUUGAUACUAUUUGUCUUGAAUACUGUGGAGGUCAGCGGAAUAUGUCAUGUAGCGGUGAAAUGCUUAGAUAUGACAUAGAACACCAAUUGCGAAGGCAGCUGGCUACACAAAUAUUGACACUGAGGCACGAAAGCGUGGGGAUCAAACAGG